RNAcentral lists this ribosomal RNA (119 nucleotides) under Pteropus alecto (black flying fox). The record is from RNAcentral. Lineage: Eukaryota; Metazoa; Chordata; Mammalia; Chiroptera; Pteropodidae.
GUCUACGGCCAUGCCACCCUGAACAUGCCCAAUCUCAUCUGAUCUCAGAAGCUAAGCAGGGUCAGGCCUGGUUAAUACUUGGACGGGAGACCACUUAGGAAUACCAAGUGCUGUAGGCG